RNAcentral lists this small RNA (17 nucleotides) under Arabidopsis thaliana (thale cress). Its description in RNAcentral is "ATSL286660". Lineage: Eukaryota; Viridiplantae; Streptophyta; Magnoliopsida; Brassicales; Brassicaceae. The record is from RNAcentral.
GAGAAGCGGCAAAAGAA